AGUGAACGCUGGCGGUAGGCCUAACACAUGCAAGUCGAACGGCAGCACAGUAAGAGCUUGCUCUUACGGGUGGCGAGUGGCGGACGGGUGAGGAAUACAUCGGAAUCUACUUUUUCGUGGGGGAUAACGUAGGGAAACUUACGCUAAUACCGCAUACGACCUACGGGUGAAAGCAGGGGAUCUUCGGACCUUGCGCGAUUGAAUGAGCCGAUGUCGGAUUAGCUAGUUGGCGGGGUAAAGGCCCACCAAGGCGACGAUCCGUAGCUGGUCUGAGAGGAUGAUCAGCCACACUGGAACUGAGACACGGUCCAGACUCCUACGGGAGGCAGCAGUGGGGAAUAUUGGACAAUGGGCGCAAGCCUGAUCCAGCCAUACCGCGUGGGUGAAGAAGGCCUUCGGGUUGUAAAGCCCUUUUGUUGGGAAAGAAAAGCAGCAGGUUAAUACCCCGCUGUUCUGACGGUGCCCAAAGAAUAAGCACCGGCUAACUUCGCG
Molecule: ribosomal RNA, 492 nt
Filed under: uncultured bacterium
Lineage: Bacteria
Description: partial 16S ribosomal RNA
Rfam family: Bacterial small subunit ribosomal RNA
Source: RNAcentral